RNAcentral lists this long non-coding RNA (1090 nucleotides) under Anser brachyrhynchus (Pink-footed goose). RNAcentral's name for it is "lncRNA (ENSABRG00000005992.1)". The record is from RNAcentral. Lineage: Eukaryota; Metazoa; Chordata; Aves; Anseriformes; Anatidae.
CAGAAAGCUUGCAGCCAGCUUCUCAGAAGAAGAAAGGUGAAACACAGAUCUUGACCUAAUGGCUCAUUCCUUGGCAGCAGGGAAACACAGCACAGGUACUAGGACAAUGCAGGGGCACCGUGCGCAGCAGGAAUCAUUUAAGAACCACCAGGUCUAGUGAUGCCUUACCUAGCUGGUGGUACCUCAAAGGGCAACUGCUGACACUGGUGCUGUGAGCCUGCCACCUCUCAGGUGAGAUUCCUAAGGACAUCAGCUCCCAGACAAUGAUGCUGGGAAGAGGAGCACCUCCAGCUCUGGGCAGCCACGGUCCCAAUAACUGUCUGUACAGACACCAAAGCCGAAACAAGCUCUGCGUAGCUUCUCUGGCUGCUCCCUGUGUAUCUGCUGCAGCUUGUGCUGACUAGGAAAUGGAAAACACAUGGGAGUAGCCCGCCCCCUUGGCUCCAUCACAGCUAUAUCAGUUUUCCUGCAAGACUUGGAGUUAAAUCAGCACAAGCAAUUUUAGCAAACUUUAAUAUAAACCAUGCGAGGGUAUUCUUGUCACUCCCUGCCUGUGAAGAGAGGGAAUGACUGCAAAGGUCAACCACUUGAGCCUACCCUCAAGAUGAACUUAAUGUUUGUGGAGGGAAGGCAGCAGCUAUGUAAUACGGGAACAGGCAGAAAACAGAAUCAUAGCUUUGAACAAUGGGGAAAACGUUGGCUGGCUGAACUGGUUAUAUUAUUGCAUAGAGGUGUAUGCACCUUUACAGAAAAUUAUUGCACUCUCCUGCAGUGUUUGAUCAGAAUAUGUGGAAAUCUUGUAGAUGAGGUAGGAAUCCCUUAUAGUGCUGAUUUCUUGUAACACUGGAAAUGGGAUGAAGCAUGAAUCUGAUAAAUACCAUGGGAAAGGAUCAAAGCUCAGCCAUUUGUAAUAACUAUUAUUUUUGGCCUAUUGAGUAUCUCUAAACUUUGCACACACUUAACUGCUUUACCUGCAGUGGCAGAGUGUGACUGAGCCAGGGUCUGAGGAGUGAGUUAUGCAGUGGCAAACCCUCCUUGACAUGAGCCUGACCGGAAAUACAAAUAAAAUUCUCAAUGGGUCUAAAUUACA